RNAcentral lists this ribosomal RNA (353 nucleotides) under uncultured bacterium. Its description in RNAcentral is "bacterial SSU rRNA". It matches the Rfam family "Bacterial small subunit ribosomal RNA", at positions 917 to 1271 of the family's 1533-position model. The record is from RNAcentral.
GGCCCCGCACAAGCAGUGGAGCAUGUGGUUUAAUUCGAUGCAACGCGAAGAACCUUACCAGGCCUUGACAUCCUCGGAACUUUCUAGAGAUAGAUUGGUGCCUUCGGGGACCUAGUGACAGGUGCUGCAUGGUUGUCGUCAGCUCGUGCUGUGAAGUGUCGGGUUAAGUCCCAUAACGAGCGCAACCCCCAUUCUAGUUGCCAGCGGUUCGGCCGGGGACUCUAGAGAAACUGCCAGCGUAAGCUGUGAGGAAGGUGGGGAUGACGUCAAAUCAUCACGGCCCUUACAUCCUGGGCCACACACGUGCUACAAUGGCCGGUACAGAGGGCUGCAAUACCGCAAGGUGGAGCGAA